AUGUGUCAUAGGAGUCCCGCUCGUUUCUCUGUGCGUGGGGUCAAGCAUGGCUUUUUCCCAAGUGGGAAUCAGCAGUUUUCAUUCUUAGUUUUGAGAGACGUUCAGGGAUCCUGGGUCUUGUACUCUGUUCCUUCUUCCCUUCUUUCCUUUCUUUCUUUUGCUGUGUUCUGGUUUUUUUUUGUUUUUUGUUUUUUUUUGUUGUUGUGGUUGUUGUUGUUGUUAUUUUUGGUGCUUUUCUCAGACGUUAUCCUUUUAUUCUUGGUUUAUUCUAAAUACUCUUUAGGACCUGUAUUUGCUGCUUUUGGCGUGGCAAGAAAACGCUUGCCCAGGAGGAUUUCCAACCUGAUGUGGGGAGCUGCGUUCGCUGCUUCCUUUCCUCCCACUUCAAAACCGAGACUGUGGUCAUGUGCGUUUGGAAGCGGGUGAGAGGCAGGCAGCCGCCCCCUGUGGUGCCGCGUCCGUGACGUCCAGUCUCGUUUUGUCUCGCUGUGUGUGGCUCCAUCUUCUUCCCUGUACAGACCUCGGGGGAUUUCUGGUUGCACUCUGCACUUGGGUGUGUGUCUGUUUUUUUGAGCUUGGGUUCUGAUGAUAACCGUUGGUUGAAACAUAUGAGCUUAGUGACCGUUGGACAGAGGUGACCUUUCUUGAACAGCAGUGGGGUGACUGGACCUGAUGACAAGUAGCACACUGAGAUCUGGCUUCCCUGCCAGGCGCUACAGUGUGCCCUCUACACACAGGACCCCCCACAUCUACUCCAGAUGUUUACAGGAAGUGGGAAACUGAGGCACAGGAGGGAGCGAGUAACUUGCAGGCAGUUUAAGUGUGGGAGCCGCACCUGGAACCUGAGGGGGUUGUCCACGCACCCACUACCCCUGUGAGCCAUCAGCUCUCCUAACCGAGGGAGCAGAAGCGUAUUGUCACCUGUGUGGGUGACAGAGCAUUUUGUAGGAAGCAUUAAGGGAAAGCUUUUUGCCUGUGUAUUUUAUGAAAUUCCCCUUCCCCUAAUAAAUUUCAGCAAUCCGCAAGGAGCA
Molecule: long non-coding RNA, 1031 nt
Filed under: Neogale vison (American mink)
Lineage: Eukaryota; Metazoa; Chordata; Mammalia; Carnivora; Mustelidae
Description: Neovison vison (American mink) lncRNA (ENSNVIG00000005280.1)
Source: RNAcentral